UACGAAGGGGGCUAGCGUUGCUCGGAAUCACUGGGCGUAAAGCGCACGUAGGCGGAUUGUUAAGUCAGGGGUGAAAUCCUGGAGCUCAACUCCAGAACUGCCUUUGAUACUGGCGAUCUCGAGUCCGGGAGAGGUGAGUGGAACUGCGAGUGUAGAGGUGAAAUUCGUAGAUAUUCGCAAGAACACCAGUGGCGAAGGCGGCUCACUGGCCCGGUACUGACGCUGAGGUGCGAAAGCUAGGGGAGCGAACGGG
This 253-nucleotide ribosomal RNA is filed under the name uncultured bacterium. RNAcentral's name for it is "partial 16S ribosomal RNA". It matches the Rfam family "Bacterial small subunit ribosomal RNA", at positions 524 to 776 of the family's 1533-position model. The record is from RNAcentral.